RNAcentral lists this transfer RNA (35 nucleotides) under Wollemia nobilis. RNAcentral describes it as "partial tRNA-His". The record is from RNAcentral. Lineage: Eukaryota; Viridiplantae; Streptophyta; Pinopsida; Araucariales; Araucariaceae.
GGCGGACGUAGCCAAGUGGAUCAAGGCAGUGGAUU